CCUACGGGAGGCAGCAGUGAGGAAUAUUGGUCAAUGGACGAAAGUCUGAACCAGCCAUGUAGCGUGCAGGAUGACUGCCCUAUGAGUUGUAAACUGCUUUUGUAAGGGAGUAAAACGAGACACGCGUACCUGUUUGCAUGUACUGUAUGAAUAAGGAUCGGCUAACUCCGUGCCAGCAGCCGCGGUAAUACGGAGGAUCCAAGCGUUAUCCGGAUUUAUUGGGUUUAAAGGGAGCGUAGGUGGGUGGUUAAGUUAGAUGUGAAAGUCUGCGGCUCAACCUCGGAAUUGCAACUGAUACUGGUCGUCUUGAGUGCAGUUGCGGUAGGCGGAAUGUGUGGUGUAGCGGUGAAAUGCUUAGAGAUCACACAGAACUCCGAUUGCGAAGGCAGCAUACCGGCGCCCGACUGACGUUGAGGCACGAAAGCGUGGGGAGCGAACAGGAUUAGAUACCCUUGUAGUC
Molecule: ribosomal RNA, 460 nt
Filed under: uncultured bacterium
Lineage: Bacteria
Description: partial 16S ribosomal RNA
Rfam family: Bacterial small subunit ribosomal RNA
Source: RNAcentral